Long non-coding RNA from Manis pentadactyla (Chinese pangolin), 423 nucleotides. RefSeq lists it as uncharacterized. NCBI's taxonomy places the organism in Eukaryota, Metazoa, Chordata, Mammalia, Pholidota, Manidae. The record is from RefSeq and is a predicted model, not a curated record. The transcript has 4 exons.
GUGUCAUUUCGUGCUGGCAGAUGAAGUGAGUUAUGCGCUUGGAACUGGGAUAGAGGAUGGGGAGAGUGUGCAAUGAGGAAGCGUAAGGUCUCACGUGUCGGCACCUGGACGUCCCUCACCUACAGGAUCAACAUUGUUUUAAGGACUCACUUCUGUAAUAAGACCUUUCCCAGGAUCCAUGUCCCAGGCUGAGGGGCGACCAGGUGGUGAUAGAAACCACAGACACCUCAUUUAAGCAACAGAGAAGCAGGACUGGCGGAGCAUGUCCCUGGUGUCCAGCCCUGCAAUCACCAGAACCCAGUGCAAUGUGGUCUCAUGUUCCCAGAGCAGAUCUCCAGGGCCAGGUUGGAGAAGGACUUUCUAAUUAGAAAUGAAGUAACUCUUUGGUUUGACUACCAAAAAAAAAAAAAAAGACGACACCAG